RNAcentral lists this unclassified non-coding RNA (329 nucleotides) under soil metagenome. Its description in RNAcentral is "partial contains 5.8S ribosomal RNA, internal transcribed spacer 2, and large subunit ribosomal RNA". The stretch from base 1 to 120 matches the Rfam family "5.8S ribosomal RNA", at positions 35 to 154 of the family's 154-position model. The record is from RNAcentral.
GAUGAAGAACGUAGCGAAAUGCGAUAAGUAAUGUGAAUUGCAGAAUUCAGUGAAUCAUCGAAUCUUUGAACGCACAUUGCGCCCCUUGGUAUUCCGAGGGGCAUGCCUGUUCGAGCGUCAUUAUAACCCCUCAAGCUCAGCUUGGUGUUGGGGCCUGCCGCACGGGCAGCCCUUAAAAUCAGUGGCGGUGCCAUCUGGCUCUAAGCGUAGUAAUUCUUCUCGCUAUAGAGUCCCGGUGGAUGCUUGCCAUUAACCCCCAAUUUUUCUAUGGUUGACCUCGGAUCAGGUAGGGAUACCCGCUGAACUUAAGCAUAUCAAUAAGCGGAGGA